GUGGGGAAUUUUGGACAAUGGGCGCAAGCCUGAUCCAGCAAUGUCGCGUGCAGGAAGAAGGCCUUCGGGUUGUAAACUGCUUUUGUACGGAACGAAACGGUCCGGGUUAAUACCCUGGGCUAAUGACGGUACCGUAAGAAUAAGCACCGGCUAACUACGUGCCAGCAGCCGCGGUAAUACGUAGGGUGCAAGCGUUAAUCGGAAUUACUGGGCGUAAAGCGUGCGCAGGCGGUUUUGUAAGACAGGCGUGAAAUCCCCGGGCUCAACCUGGGAACUGCGCUUGUGACUGCACGGCUAGAGUAUGGCAGAGGGGGGUGGAAUUCCACGUGUAGCAGUGAAAUGCGUAGAGAUGUGGAGGAACACCGAUGGCGAAGGCAGCCCCCUGGGCCAAUACUGACGCUCAUGCACGAAAGCGUGGGGAGCAAACAGGAUUAGAUACCCUGGUAGUCC
Molecule: ribosomal RNA, 450 nt
Filed under: uncultured bacterium
Lineage: Bacteria
Description: bacterial SSU rRNA
Rfam family: Bacterial small subunit ribosomal RNA
Source: RNAcentral